UUUAUCGUCAGCAAUAAACAAAACAAGCACAGAGCCAAUAUAAUAAGCGAUGAUGAGACGCCCCCCCCCCCCACAUACCCCUACGAAGACCUUCAUUUGCCCAUCCCAAAAUACUGCUCAAGAUUUUUCGUGGGCACCGUAUGUGAAUUGUGAAGUGCCAUUUUACUACUAGUAUUAGACAUGAUGAAGGUCACGCAGAAGAAACGUUGUGACUCAUGAGACAGAGCAGCGGUGGAGCUCGAGCAAAAACCAAGAGUAUUCCCAGCCAUGGUGCGCCUGGUCCCCGGCUCGCACGUCAAGGUCGGAUUUUGACCGGCGGAUCGCUAGUGGCACGGCGAGCUCGCUCAGCCCUGCUGGGUUGAAGAAUCAGAGGAGGAGAGGGAAAGCAACUGAACAGACCAGGGUAGAAGACGAGUUGGGUUUUGGCAGCAAGCAAGGGGUGGCGUGAUCGAGGACCCCGCUGGAACGUUGCCUGGGGAGAUCGGGGUUGCCGCUGCCUGCGAACAGGGGAAUUUUGGGUGCCGCGCGCGCGGCAAGAAGAGGGACCAAGUCACGAGAUUGUGAAUUCGACAAGGGGGUUUUCUGUGAAACAGGUACGGUGGGAUCAGUUCAGCUCGUUGGAUGUGGAUCGGACGAAUGGAAGAUGGCGUUUGCAAGGUUGCUCGUUGGAUGUGAAACAGGGUAUCCUUAUACUCCACAUCAGAAUUCAGAUAGCACACAUCAUACCUCAGCUAUUUUUGGCAACACCAUAACCAUUAACUCUCCAAAUUAGAUAAACAAGCAGCCUGGCAUCUUUCUUCCCCCUUUG
Phragmites australis (common reed) is the source of this 808-nucleotide long non-coding RNA. RefSeq lists it as uncharacterized. Lineage: Eukaryota; Viridiplantae; Streptophyta; Magnoliopsida; Poales; Poaceae. The transcript is spliced from 3 exons. The record is from RefSeq and is a predicted model, not a curated record.